RNAcentral lists this ribosomal RNA (247 nucleotides) under Unio pictorum (painter's mussel). Its description in RNAcentral is "partial 28S ribosomal RNA". It matches the Rfam family "Eukaryotic large subunit ribosomal RNA", at positions 45 to 282 of the family's 3401-position model. The record is from RNAcentral. Lineage: Eukaryota; Metazoa; Mollusca; Bivalvia; Unionida; Unionidae.
ACUAAGCGGAGGAAAAGAAACUAACAAGGAUUCCCCUAGUWACGGCGAGUGAAGAGGGAAAAGCCCAGCACCGAAUCCCACAGCCUUGCGCUGUCGGGAACUGUGGUGUAUAGGAAGCCUACUUGUCGGCGUGUUCGGGUACCCAAGUCCUCCUGAUCGUGGCCUCUCCCAUAGCGGGUGUCAGGCCCAUACAGGCACCCGACGGCGUCGGCUUGGAGCUUCCUCGGAGUCGGGUUGUUUGGGAAUG